This 320-nucleotide unclassified non-coding RNA is filed under the name uncultured fungus. RNAcentral's name for it is "partial contains 5.8S ribosomal RNA and internal transcribed spacer 2". The stretch from base 1 to 133 matches the Rfam family "5.8S ribosomal RNA", at positions 22 to 154 of the family's 154-position model. The record is from RNAcentral. Lineage: Eukaryota; Fungi.
UGGUUCUGGCAUCGAUGAAGAACGCAGCGAAAUGCGAUAAGUAGUGUGAAUUGCAGAAUUCAGUGAAUCAUCGAAUCUUUGAACGCACAUUGCGCCCUUCGGUAUUCCGUUGGGCAUGCCUGUUCGAGCGUCAUUUAAACCUUCAAGCUCAGCUUGGUGUUGGGUGCUUGUCCUCCCCCGCGGUGGACUCACCUCAAAUGCAUUGGCGGCCGGUAUGUUGGCUUCGAGCGCAGUAGAAACGCGCCUGGCGUCUUGACAUACGGGUCCUCCACGAGCCCUUUCUUAAUCUUGACCUCGGAUCAGGUAGGGAUACCCGCUGA